UGCAAUGGUGCGAUGUCGGCUCACCACAACUUCCACCUGCCAGGUUCAAGUGAUACUCCUGCCUCAGCCUCCUGAGUAGCUGGGAUUAGAGGCAUGCGACACCAUGCCUGGCUAAUUUUAUAUUUUUUGGUAGAGACGGGGUUUCUCCAUGUUGGUCAGGCUGGUCUCGAACUCCUGAUCUCAAGUGAUCCACCCACCUAGGCCUCCCAAAGUGCUGGGAUUACAGGCGUGAGCCACCGCGCCCGGCUCUGAGAGUUAUUUUCUACUAACCAAUGAUGUACUGCUAGAUUUUGGAAUAAAAGGUUCUAUGUGUGUGGGGAGGGGAGGAAGGAGCAGAAUCAAAAAGCCCUGAGCAAUGAUAGGAUGGAUUAGAGUUUGGAAAGGGAAACGUGGGGUCCAGAACACACUGGUUAGGCUGUGGCAAGGGGGUCCUCUUGACAUCCUCUAACCAGAUCUCACAGCACACUUCCUGCCAUGUCGCAGCAGAGACCAGCCCUCACCAGACCCGGUGCUGACAUUAACCAGGUGCUGCCCUGAGCGAGAUGGCGUCCUGCCACGCCUGCUCCGUCAUCUGGGAGAUGCCUUGUCGGCAGCUCCAAGGCCUCCUGUGGGAAGGCAUGAACGUCUGUCCUCACGUCCCUGCUUCCCUUAUUACCCAGCGGUGGAAGUUCAUCCCCCACUCUCCUAUCUUCCUGAAUUCAUCCCAUCCUUUGUUGGCCCUGUGUGUGGUUUCUUCCUGUACUCUCUUUUGUGGAUUUUUGUAGAAUUUCAGAAGUGAUUGUGAUAUUAGAUGUGAUCAUCUCUGCUCUGCCUGCUGCUGGGGAUGUGUGGCACUGACCCACUCUCCCCAUUUUCCUCAUUGUGGCUCUAUAGUCAAAAAGGCUCUUAGGCCCCUUCUAAGUUCUUUCUUCUCCAGGCUAACAUCCUUUUCUUCUUUAAGUCCAUUUUUAACAUUGGUUGUGAGUUAACUCCUGACCUCUCCCCCUCUGUCUAGUCCAUGCUGGUCACUCCCUCCUUGCUCUAAAAGUGAAGGUGCUGGUGGGAGCAGGACCUUCUGGCUAUCCCCAGGCAGGCCCGUGCCUCCCUCGAGGCUUUGACAUUGUGAUGUGUGUGUCUCUUCACACCAGGGUGGGAGCCCCUUGAGGGAAAGAACCACGCCUUUCUCUCUCGGGAGAAAGCCCCUGUCAGACAGCAGGCAUUUGAAAUUAAACAGAACAUUAUAAUUCUGGGUCCUAACCUUUAUAAAUGCAAGGCAAGACUAGAUUAUGUUAGCGGAUUUGUCAAUAUUCAUUUGGUUCAGUCUUAUUGCACAGAUAGGCAAUUAAAGCAUUUUAAAUGGGCUGUGCUUAAGUGUGGUCCCCCUCUCAUGUACUCCUAUAGCAGGCUUUAAAACACUGCAUUGCGCUUAAAGAUCUGCUUCUUGGAUUUGGGCUGUUGAGCUCUUUUCCUUCUUCCACAUCAUUCCCUCA
This 1469-nucleotide long non-coding RNA is filed under the name Homo sapiens (human). RNAcentral's name for it is "HSALNT0220761". Lineage: Eukaryota; Metazoa; Chordata; Mammalia; Primates; Hominidae. The record is from RNAcentral.